Molecule: ribosomal RNA, 550 nt
Filed under: uncultured bacterium
Lineage: Bacteria
Description: partial 16S ribosomal RNA
Rfam family: Bacterial small subunit ribosomal RNA
Source: RNAcentral
UGGGGAAUUUUGGACAAUGGGCGCAAGCCUGAUCCAGCCAUGCCGCGUGCGGGAAGAAGGCCUUCGGGUUGUAAACCGCUUUUGUCAGGGAAGAAAUCUUCUGAGUUAAUACCUCGGGAGGAUGACGGUACCUGAAGAAUAAGCACCGGCUAACUACGUGCCAGCAGCCGCGGUAAUACGUAGGGUGCAAGCGUUAAUCGGAAUUACUGGGCGUAAAGCGUGCGCAGGCGGUUUUGUAAGACAGAGGUGAAAUCCCCGGGCUCAACCUGGGAACUGCCUUUGUGACUGCAAGGCUUGAGUGCGGCAGAGGGGGGAAUGGAAUUCCGCGUGUAGCAGUGAAAUGCGUAGAUAUGCGGAGGAACACCGAUGGCGAAGGCAAUCCCCUGGGCCUGCACUGACGCUCAUGCACGAAAGCGUGGGGAGCAAAACAGGAUUAGAUCCCUGGUAGUCCACGCCCUAAAACGAUGUCAACUGGUUGUUGGGAAGGUUCCUUCUCAGUAACGUAGCUAACGCGUGAAGUUGACCGCCUGGGGAGUACGGCCGCAAGGUU